RNAcentral lists this ribosomal RNA (253 nucleotides) under uncultured bacterium. Its description in RNAcentral is "partial 16S ribosomal RNA". It matches the Rfam family "Bacterial small subunit ribosomal RNA", at positions 524 to 776 of the family's 1533-position model. The record is from RNAcentral.
GACGUAGGGGGCAAGCGUUGUUCGGAAUUACUGGGCGUAAAGCGCGCGCAGGCGGCUAUCCAAGUCAGUGGUGAAAGCCCGGAGCUCAACUCCGGAACUGCCAUUGAAACUGUUUAGCUUGAGGAUGAGAGAGGUGAGUGGAAUUCCCAGUGUAGAGGUGAAAUUCGUAGAUAUUGGGAAGAACACCGGUGGCGAAGGCGGCUCACUGGCUCAUUACUGACGCUCAGGCGCGAUAGCGUGGGGAUCAAACAGG